Molecule: long non-coding RNA, 508 nt
Filed under: Numida meleagris (helmeted guineafowl)
Lineage: Eukaryota; Metazoa; Chordata; Aves; Galliformes; Numididae
Description: lncRNA (ENSNMEG00000011564.1)
Source: RNAcentral
GAAUAGGAAGCACCACGCACAUGCUGAAUGCCUUGAAGGAAAGUGAGGUAGUCUGUAAGCAUCCUACUUUAGUAAGUAUGGAGUGAUUCCCUCUGGCAGAAAUCCCUCAUUUUGGAUGAUUUACCAACUCAGGAUCUCAAAGGCAAUAACUUCAAGCUGUCUUAAGAAGCAAUGAAAUCCAGUGGACAGUGGAGCAGGAUGUCUAUGAAGAGCAUGAGCCUCAUUUACGAUUGCUUGCAUGUUUGGUGCAAAGGAUCAGCAUGGACUCAGCUAGACAGGAUGGAUGCAGAAUGGUGCAGAGAAGAAACAGAUGGGCAACCAGCAAAGCAGCAGUGGGACAAACUUUCUAGAUCUGUUCUCACCUUUUUCUGUGGAGGCCAGAUAUUGCACCUAGAGAGAAGAAAAAUCCAGGAGACAACUGGUACACUUCAAGAAGUUCAAUGAAUUUGAUUAAUAACGGACAUGACUUGAAGAAUUAAUAAAAUGAUAAUCUGUCUGCCUCUGUGCA